This 333-nucleotide long non-coding RNA is filed under the name Androctonus crassicauda. The record is from RNAcentral. Lineage: Eukaryota; Metazoa; Arthropoda; Arachnida; Scorpiones; Buthidae.
UAGCGAGUAUGUUUGUAUUCGAAUGCGGAUUUAUAUAUGAAAAUAAAUAGAUUGUAUCGCCUUCCAGGAGGUCACGCUUUUCUGAUUUCUAAUUAUAAUCGUGUUUCUGUAAAGGAUAAAAUUCAACUUCCAAGAAAAUUUCGAGAUCGUGCACUUUAUGACGUGCAUGACUCUAUCGAAACAGUCACGGCAUCAAUCCUAUAUCCUGACUGCACCUGCAUCUUUCAUGACUUAUAUACGGAUAUAUGUUAAUAAACAUGUGUAAAUAACCCCAUUGCUAUUUUUUUUAAACAAAAAAGCCUUCAUCGUGUAUAUUUUUUCAAUUAAUUUGCC